RNAcentral lists this ribosomal RNA (164 nucleotides) under uncultured bacterium. RNAcentral's name for it is "partial 16S rRNA". It matches the Rfam family "Bacterial small subunit ribosomal RNA", at positions 355 to 511 of the family's 1533-position model. The record is from RNAcentral.
UAGGGAAUCUUCCACAAUGGACGAAAGUACUGAUGGAGCAACGCCGCGUGAGUGAAGAAGGUUUCGGAUCGUAAAGCUCUGUUGUUGGUGAAGAAGGAUAGAGGCAGUAACUGGUCUUUAUUUGACGGUAAUCAACCAGAAAGUCACGGCUAACUACGUGCCAC